AGAGUUUGAUCCUGGCUCAGGAUGAACGCUAGCGACAGGCCUAACACAUGCAAGUCGAGGGGUAACAGGGGCUUCGGCCCGCUGACGACCGGCGCACGGGUGAGUAACGCGUAUGCAACCUGCCUGUAACAGCGGGAUAGCUCCCUGAAAGGGGAAUUAACACCGCAUAAGACCACGCUCUCGCAUGGGGACGGGGUAAAAUAUUUAUAGGUUACAGAUGGGCAUGCGUGACAUUAGUUAGUUGGUGAGGUAACGGCUCACCAAGACUGCGAUGUCUAGGGGUUCUGAGAGGAAGGUCCCCCACACUGGAACUGAGACACGGUCCAGACUCCUACGGGAGGCAGCAGUGAGGAAUAUUGGUCAAUGGACGCAAGUCUGAACCAGCCAUGUCGCGUGCAGGAUGACUGCCCUAUGGGUUGUAAACUGCUUUUAUAUUGGAAGAAUUGCGCUUACGAGUUAAGCGUUUGACGGUACAUUAUGAAUAAGGAUCGGCUAACUCCGUGCCAGCAGCCGCGGUAAUACGGAGGAUCCGAGCGUUAUCCGGAUUUAUUGGGUUUAAAGGGUGCGUAGGCGGAAAUGUAAGUCAGUGGUGAAAUCCUGCAGCUUAACUGUAGAAUAGCCGUUGAAACUGUGUUUCUUGAGUACAUUUGAGGUAGGCGGAAUGUGGUGUGUAGCGGUGAAAUGCAUAGAUAUACCACAGAACACCGAUUGCGAAGGCAGCUUACUAAACUGUCACUGACGCUGAUGCACGAAAGCGUGGGUAUCANACAGGAUUAGAUACCCUGGUAGUCCACGCUGUAAACGAUGAUUACUGGUUGUUUGCGAUACACUGCAAGUGACUGAGCGAAAGCAUUAAGUAAUCCACCUGGGGAGUACGUCGGCAACGAUGAAACUCAAAGGAAU
Molecule: ribosomal RNA, 903 nt
Filed under: uncultured bacterium
Lineage: Bacteria
Description: bacterial SSU rRNA
Rfam family: Bacterial small subunit ribosomal RNA
Source: RNAcentral